RNAcentral lists this ribosomal RNA (85 nucleotides) under uncultured bacterium. Its description in RNAcentral is "partial 16S ribosomal RNA". The stretch from base 11 to 85 matches the Rfam family "Bacterial small subunit ribosomal RNA", at positions 1 to 75 of the family's 1533-position model. The record is from RNAcentral.
CGGAUCCGCGCCGCUGCAGAGUUUGAUCCUGGCUCAGGACGAACGCUGGCGGCGUGCUUAACACAUGCAAGUCGUAACAAGGUAA